CAGUCGCCGCGGGAAUACGUAGGGUGCUAGCGUUGUUCGGAUUUACUGGGCGUAAAGGGCGCGUAGGCGGGCGAAUAAGUCAGGGGUGAAAUCCCAAGGCUCAGCCUUGGAACUGCCUUUGAUACUGUUUGUCUUGAGUUCGAGAGAGGUAAGUGGAACUGCGAGUGUAGAGGUGAAAUUCGUAGAUAUUCGCAAGAACACCAGUGGCGAAGGCGGCUUACUGGCUCGAAACUGACGCUGAGGCGCGAAAGCGUGGGGAGCAAACAGGAUUAGAUACCCGCGUAGUCCCUGUCUCUUAUAC
RNAcentral lists this ribosomal RNA (301 nucleotides) under uncultured bacterium. RNAcentral's name for it is "partial 16S ribosomal RNA". It matches the Rfam family "Bacterial small subunit ribosomal RNA", at positions 509 to 807 of the family's 1533-position model. The record is from RNAcentral.